Long non-coding RNA from Aedes albopictus (Asian tiger mosquito), 379 nucleotides. RefSeq lists it as uncharacterized. Lineage: Eukaryota; Metazoa; Arthropoda; Insecta; Diptera; Culicidae. The record is from RefSeq and is a predicted model, not a curated record. The transcript has 2 exons.
AUACAACGACCUUAUCAAUUUUCCAUGCUGACUAAGAGGAUUCCUAGUCCCUGAUGGAUUGAUGGUACUGAACAUUUCCUAAAAAAAUGGGCAGUUGAUCUGAUGCGGAUGCGGAAGGGUUCCAUGAUGCACAACCUAGAGAUGAAAACCGGAGACUGCUGCAAACUGGCUAGUACCUCGGAUUGUUGCAAAAAGGUACUAAGAAGAUAUUGGUAUGUGCCAAAGUGCCAGUUGUCCCAGCGUUUCAAUAAAAAACAACUUGCUAACUCUGCUAAACAAACACGAGAAAGAGUGGGAUGAAACCUGGGGCAAAUAGCCCAUCUCUCCAUCCAUCUUUUUCUCGUGUUUGUUUAGGAGAGUGAGUAAGAAAAAAGAAAAA